GCAACUCGACACUCCAUGAAGUCGGAAUCGCUAGUAAUCGCAAAUCAGAAUGUUGCGGUGAAUACGUUCCCGGGCCUUGUACACACCGCCCGUCACACCAUGGGAGUGGGUUGCACCAGAAGUAGAUAGCUUAACCUUCGGGAGGGCGUUUACCACGGUGUGAUUCAUGACUGGGGUGAAGUCGUAACAAGGUAACCCUAGGGGAACCUGGGGUUGGAUCACCUCCUUACCUUAAUGA
This 238-nucleotide ribosomal RNA is filed under the name Aeromonas caviae. RNAcentral describes it as "partial 16S ribosomal RNA". It matches the Rfam family "Bacterial small subunit ribosomal RNA", at positions 1307 to 1533 of the family's 1533-position model. The record is from RNAcentral. Lineage: Bacteria; Pseudomonadati; Pseudomonadota; Gammaproteobacteria; Aeromonadales; Aeromonadaceae.